GCCCCCCUGAAGCCCAGCCCCUUGCCCACAUUCUGUCUGGCCUUCUUCCUCUCCAGAACCAGGCUCUUUUACCAAGGAGCAAGCCCAAAGUGGUGCCCCAGGCAGAGAAGCCAGGUGGGCUGAGGGCUGCAUGUGUACCUGCAGAGAUACAGAACACCCUGUUCCAGCAGAAGGUGCUCCAAGCCUGAGCCAGGAAAGGAGUACAGUGGUCAGCUCCCUUCAACACCCCACGGGCAUCUCAAAUUCAUCUCAAAUUCGGCAGGUCAAAAACUGACCUCCAUAUUGACAUAAUCCAAAAGGAGACAGGAACGGAGACAGAGGAGUAAAAACCAGAGGGAUGACAGAAGACACGGAAUGGCAGACCAAAAUGCAACUGUAACAAUUACUACAUUAAACAUAAAUGGUCUAAAGACACCACCUAAAAGAAAAGCAAAAUCAGGCUGGAUAAGAAACAAGACCCGACUUGCAUGUGGUCCACAAGCCCCAUUUUAAAUACAGUGACGGAACCAGGUUAAGAGUAAAGAAAUGGGGGAAUCAAAGGCUAACCCAAAGAAAGCUGAGCUGCAGUGGGUGUAUUAGCAUCAGACAGAGGAGACUUCAGAAAAAGGAAUAUCGUCAGGAAGAAACAGCACAUGGUAAAAGGAUCGACUGACCGAGAAGACAUCACGGUCCUCAGCAUGCAUAAGAGAGAAGACCAACACCACCAUCAACCAAAUUAACCCAACUGACACGUUUUUGUCUUUUUUUUUCCCCCCUGACAUUUAGGCAACACUAGACCCAGCAGCGGGAGAACACAUAUGCAAGUCCACGUGGAACAUCGCCAAAUCUUGGCCAUAAAAUAAAUCUGAACAAAUUCAAAAGUACUGAGAUCACACAAAGUAUGUUCUCAGGCCCUAAUGGAAUUAAACCAGAAACUAGUAACAGAAAAACGUCCAGAAGAAUCUCUAGUUACUUGGAAAUUAACACGUCUAAAUAUCCUGUGGUCAAAGAGCAAGUCUGAAGGGAAAUCAGAAGAUAUUUUGAACCAAAUAAAAUCAUAUAUCAAAUUUACAGAGUACAGCUGAAACAGUGUUUAGAUAGAAAUUAACAGUUAUUACUAAAUGCUUACGUUACAAAAGAUCUCAAAUCAAUAAACCUAAGUUCCUAAUUCAAGAGAGCAAAUUAAGUCCAAAGCAAGCAAAGGAAAUAAUAAAAGUAAGACCAUAAACAAAAGGAAGCGAAAGCAGACAAAAGCCAAUGACGUUAAAAGCUAGUUGUUUCUAUGGCCAAUAAAACAAAUCAAUCAAUCUCCACAUUCACUGAGAAAAAAGACACAAGUUACCACCACCAGGAGUAAAAGAAAGGACACAUCACUACAGACCCCACAGACGUUACAAGGAUAACAAAGGCACACAGUAAACAAACCAAUGCCCAUAAAUUCCACAAUUCAGGGAAAGGAGCAAUGUGUCCAAAGGCACAAAUCCCCAAAACUCAGCCAAGAAGAAACUGAUAAGCUGACUAGUCCCCUAGCUACAAAAAUAACUGGGUUCACUGUUAAAAACCUAACAACGAAAACUCCAGGCCUGGACGCUUUUGCUGGGGAGUUCUACUUAAUAUUUAAGAAUGAACACCAACUCUACACAUCUACUCCGAAAAUAAGAGAGAGCACCUCCCAACUCAUUUUUGAGGCCAGUGUUAUACUGACACCAAAUCCAGACAGAGAGUACGAGAAAAUCUGAGGGAGGGCGGGCAAAACCCGAGUAUUCCCACCACCACCUCUGGACAAUGCUGCCGUCAACCCAGCUGCCAGAGUCCACAUGCCUCUGUCCUCUGGCUUCCAGGCACCACAGCCUGUCCCUUUGGCUUCCCACCUCCACAGCCACCCGGGCCUCUCUUGCCUGCAGAACCACAAAACCUCCCAGGGUGUCCUUUCUCCCAUUACUGCCUCCCACUGACCCAUUCUCCACAUGGACCAGGAUCUGACCACUUCUAGCUCCAACACUUCCUGACUCCCCUUCACUUGCUCAGGGGAUAAAACCAGAAGCCUCAACAAAGCUGGCCAACCUCAGCCACUCCUCUUCCCGACCCAGUCUCUGUUCCUCAGUGGAGCCGACCUCGUCCUAAUUCCCACUGGUUUCUAGAACGCUUCUGCUGGGCUCCAUGGCUUUGUCCCCGCUGUUCCUGACCCUUGGAACCGUAACCCGACUGCUGCCGAGUUGCUGCAAGACUGCUGCUCUUGCACAGCGGUCACCCCUCCUCUGGGAAGCCUUCCUUCUACCUUGCGGGAGAGGCGUGCCUUCCCCCCCGUCCUCCACUGUCCCCAUUGUCCGGGGAGGGGUAGGCACUCCUCAGGGCAGUGGCUGGUGUGGCAAGGGUGAAGACAGAAGGCAGGCAGAUCAGACAGCAGAAUCUCUGCCAAGGUGCAGCGCCCCCAGAUCAAAUCAGGAAAACAUCCCCAAAGCCUGGAGAUGCCAAGGUCUGUGCCAGAUGGUGCCCGAGAUCGAGAGGCUAGCUGCACGGACUGCUGAGCAAGGCCCCCCAGAGCCCAGGGUUCGCAAAAAGGGCCUCAUCUGUCCCCCUAGUCUCCCCAAGAGGCGGGAGAGACAAGGACCACCCAGCUCCCAUCCCGCUGGAUGACGAGAGCCCAGUCUCCGCAUCACCGGGACUUGCCCCCAAGGCUCAGAGGCCCAGAUCCAGCACCUGGCCCACCACACAAGCACCUAGGACGUGGGGCACUGGGCUCGAAGGGGUCUGAAGGCACUACAGCCCACCUGCUGGCUGCGGCUGUGCUGCUGGCCUUCUUGGCGGGAGGCUUCUUCGGUUGGGCCUGCUUGGCAGGUGGGGCCACCUUGGCCUUCUUGUCGUCCUCGGACUUCGCCUUGUGCCUCUCCUUGUCCUUGUCCUUGUCCUUGUCCUUCUUUUUCUUCUCCUUCUCCUUCUUCUCCUUCUUCCUCUUUGGCUUAUUCACUGGGGCCUGCGACAGGGCGGCCAGCUGCUCGUGCACGGCCUUCAGCUGGAAGAUAGCAGGUGGCUGAGCAAGGCUGCCCUGGGGCUGGCCCAAGGGGACCACAGGUGGUGGCGGGGGCUUUGGGGUGCCCUUGGAGCUACCUCAACCUUGCGGGGAGGUGAGCCAGGGCCACCGGGGCCACACCCUGCUGUGGAAAGGCAGGCAGGUCCCAGAGCAGGUGGCAUCGAGCUCCACUCUGCCCUCACUGCCCCGUGACAGCUGGAGGAGAGCUGCCUUGCCGUCCUCACCGGAAACGAGGCUCACGGGUGGCCAGGAGGCCAGCAGGUGAGCCUGGUGACACGUGCAGACCAGGACGGGCGCAUAGUAACAACCUGAUAAAUCGUAGCCAAGGGUGCCUGGGGGGCUCAGUCGGUUAAGCCUCCGACUUCGGCUCAGGUCACGAUCUCACGGUUCACGAGUUCGAGCCCCGCGUCGGGCUCUGGGCGGACGGCUCGGAGCCUGGAGCCCGCUUCCGAUUCUGUGCCCCUCCCCUGCUCGCUCGCGCUCUCUCUCUCUCUCUCUCUCUCUCUCUCUCUCUCUC
This is a long non-coding RNA of Acinonyx jubatus (cheetah), 3527 nucleotides long. RefSeq lists it as uncharacterized. The record is from RefSeq and is a predicted model, not a curated record. Lineage: Eukaryota; Metazoa; Chordata; Mammalia; Carnivora; Felidae. The transcript has 2 exons.